GACGAACGCUGGCGGCGUGCUUAACACAUGCAAGUCGAACGGAAAGGCCCUGCUUUUGUGGGGUGCUCGAGUGGCGAACGGGUGAGUAACACGUGAGUAACCUGCCCUUGACUUUGGGAUAACUUCAGGAAACUGGGGCUAAUACCGGAUAGGAGCUCCUGCUGCAUGGUGGGGGUUGGAGAGUUUCGGCGGUUGGGGAUGGACUCGCGGCUUAUCAGCUUGUUGGUGGGGUAGUGGCUUACCAAGGCUUUGACGGGUAGCCGGCCUGAGAGGGUGACCGGCCACAUUGGGACUGAGAUACGGCCCAGACUCCUACGGGAGGCAGCAGUGGGGAAUAUUGCACAAUGGGCGGAAGCCUGAUGCAGCAACGCCGCGUGCGGGAUGACGGCCUUCGGGUUGUAAACCGCUUUCGCCUGUGACGAAGCGUGAGUGACGGUAAUGGGUAAAGAAGCACCGGCUAACUACGUGCCAGCAGCCGCGGUGAUACGUAGGGUGCGAGCGUUGUCCGGAUUUAUUGGGCGUAAAGGGCUCGUAGGUGGUUGAUCGCGUCGGAAGUGUAAUCUUGGGGCUUAACCCUGAGCGUGCUUUCGAUACGGGUUGACUUGAGGAAGGUAGGGGAGAAUGGAAUUCCUGGUGGAGCGGUGGAAUGCGCAGAUAUCAGGAGGAACACCAGUGGCGAAGGCGGUUCUCUGGGCCUUUCCUGACGCUGAGGAGCGAAAGCGUGGGGAGCGAACAGGCUUAGAUACCCUGGUAGUCCACGCUGUAAACGGUGGGUACUAGGUGUGGGGUCCAUUCCACGGGUUCCGUGCCGUAGCUAACGCUUUAAGUACCCCGCCUGGGGAGUACGGCCGCAAGGCUAAAACUCAAAGGAAUUGACGGGGCCCCGCACAAGCGGCGGAGCAUGCGGAUUAAUUCGAUGCAACGCGUAGAACCUUACCUGGGUUUGACAUGGAUCGGGAGCGCUCAGAGAUGGGUGUGCCUCUUUUGGGGUCGGUUCACAGGUGGUGCAUGGCUGUCGUCAGCUCGUGUCGUGAGAUGUUGGGUUAAGUCCCGCAACGAGCGCAACCCUUGUUCACUGUUGCCAGCACGUUAUGGUGGGGACUCAGUGGAGACCGCCGGGGUCAACUCGGAGGAAGGUGGGGAUGACGUCAAGUCAUCAUGCCCCUUAUGUCCAGGGCUUCACGCAUGCUACAAUGGCUGGUACAGAGAGUGGCGAGCCUGUGAGGGUGAGCGAAUCUCGGAAAGCCGGUCUCAGUUCGGAUUGGGGUCUGCAACUCGACCUCAUGAAGUCGGAGUCGCUAGUAAUCGCAGAUCAGCAACGCUGCGGUGAAUACGUUCCCGGGGCU
RNAcentral lists this ribosomal RNA (1346 nucleotides) under uncultured bacterium. RNAcentral's name for it is "bacterial SSU rRNA". It matches the Rfam family "Bacterial small subunit ribosomal RNA", at positions 28 to 1381 of the family's 1533-position model. The record is from RNAcentral.